Molecule: ribosomal RNA, 119 nt
Filed under: Bacillus subtilis
Lineage: Bacteria; Bacillati; Bacillota; Bacilli; Caryophanales; Bacillaceae
Also listed under: 2 other names
Source: RNAcentral
UUUGGUGGCGAUAGCGAAGAGGUCACACCCGUUCCCAUACCGAACACGGAAGUUAAGCUCUUCAGCGCCGAUGGUAGUCGGGGGUUUCCCCCUGUGAGAGUAGGACGCCGCCAAGCAAG